This 254-nucleotide ribosomal RNA is filed under the name uncultured bacterium. Its description in RNAcentral is "partial 16S ribosomal RNA". It matches the Rfam family "Bacterial small subunit ribosomal RNA", at positions 524 to 776 of the family's 1533-position model. The record is from RNAcentral.
UACGUAGGUGACAAGCGUUGUCCGGAUUUACUGGGCGUAAAGAGCGCGCAGGCGGUCGAUCAAGUCGAGUGUGAAAGCCCCCCGGCUCAACUGGGGAGGGUCAUUCGAUACUGAUCGACUCGAAGGCAGGAGAGGGUAGUGGAAUUCCCGGUGUAGUGGUGAAAUGCGUAGAUAUCGGGAGGAACACCAGUGGCGAAGGCGAGUCUCUGGACAGUUACUGACGCUGAGGCACGAAGGCCAGGGGAGCAAACGGG